AAAUUGAAGAGUUUGAUCAUGGCUCAGAUUGAACGCUGGCGGCAGGCCUAACACAUGCAAGUCGAACGGUAACAGGAAGCAGCUUGCUGCUUCGCUGACGAGUGGCGGACGGGUGAGUAAUGUCUGGGAAACUGCCUGAUGGAGGGGGAUAACUACUGGAAACGGUGGCUAAUACCGCAUAACGUCGCAAGACCAAAGAGGGGGACCUUCGGGCCUCUUGCCAUCAGAUGUGUCCAGAU
RNAcentral lists this ribosomal RNA (239 nucleotides) under Salmonella enterica. RNAcentral describes it as "partial 16S ribosomal RNA". It matches the Rfam family "Bacterial small subunit ribosomal RNA", at positions 1 to 236 of the family's 1533-position model. Lineage: Bacteria; Pseudomonadati; Pseudomonadota; Gammaproteobacteria; Enterobacterales; Enterobacteriaceae. The record is from RNAcentral.